UAGUUUCCCCUUAUGUUUAAUUACAUUUUCUGUUUUAUGUGAAGUUCCAACAUUAUCUUCUGGAAUAUUCGUUUUAUAUGUUUAUAAACCAUUAUAAACAAUCUUCGACUUUUGCUAUGCACAUUGAGGAAUACUGUAAUUUCUAAUGAUUUAUUACUUAAGAGAGAGGAACCAUGUACUGUUAAAAUAAAUUACAAGAUCAUGUACAUUUAAGUAUAUUUUUAUAAGAGCUUGUUGGUGAGGAGAGAAGAGAGGAAUCAACAAUCAAAUGAACAUGGAAAGCGGCCGCUGUCAAAGAUUUUGAUAUUUUAGAGUAGAAUCAUUAUUACAAACAUAAGCAUCAUGGAAUUGUGCAGUCAAGUGAGAGUGAAUACAAAGGGACAGUAAAUGUGCCCUUCUGAGACAUGACAGUGCCGCAUUGAAGUUCUGGACUUUGUCUUGGUGCAGUUGGUGGUGUCGACAAUGUUGUUGGAACAAAUAGAAUAAAGAGUUGCAGCA
Non-coding RNA from Penaeus vannamei (Pacific white shrimp), 498 nucleotides. NCBI's taxonomy places the organism in Eukaryota, Metazoa, Arthropoda, Malacostraca, Decapoda, Penaeidae. The record is from RefSeq and is a predicted model, not a curated record.